UGUGUUAAACGCUUGGUCCCAGCU
Molecule: non-coding RNA, 24 nt
Filed under: Rattus norvegicus (Norway rat)
Lineage: Eukaryota; Metazoa; Chordata; Mammalia; Rodentia; Muridae
Source: RNAcentral